UCGAAAGACCUUGCGCUUUGGGAGCGGCCGAUGUCUGAUUAGCUAGUUGGUGGGGUAAAGGCUUACCAAGGCGACGAUCAGUAGUUGGUCUGAGAGGACGACCAGCCACACUGGGACUGAGACACGGCCCAGACUCCUACGGGAGGCAGCAGUGGGGAAUUUUGGACAAUGGGCGAAAGCCUGAUCCAGCCAUGCCGCGUGAGUGAAGAAGGCCUUCGGGUUGUAAAGCUCUUUCAGUCGAAAAGAAAGGGUUAUGGUUAAUAACUGUGAUUCAUGACGGUAUCGACAGAAGAAGCACCGGCUAACUACGUGCCAGCAGCCGCGGUAAUACGUAGGGUGCGAGCGUUAAUCGGAAUUACUGGGCGUAAAGGGUGCGCAGGCGGUUUUGUAAGUCAGAUGUGAAAUCCCCGGGCUUAACCUGGGAAUU
This 427-nucleotide ribosomal RNA is filed under the name uncultured Nitrosomonas sp. Its description in RNAcentral is "bacterial SSU rRNA". It matches the Rfam family "Bacterial small subunit ribosomal RNA", at positions 200 to 622 of the family's 1533-position model. The record is from RNAcentral. Lineage: Bacteria; Pseudomonadati; Pseudomonadota; Betaproteobacteria; Nitrosomonadales; Nitrosomonadaceae.